This is an RNA transcript of Capsicum annuum, 396 nucleotides long. RefSeq lists it as uncharacterized. Lineage: Eukaryota; Viridiplantae; Streptophyta; Magnoliopsida; Solanales; Solanaceae. The transcript is spliced from 3 exons. The record is from RefSeq and is a predicted model, not a curated record.
UUUUUUAACACUAAAAUAUUGUAUUCGCUCCAACAUGUUUUAUUCCCUCCAAUUUCAGUUACCCAAAAAAAAAAAUCAUAAAACAAAAUAAUACAGCUAGGCUACCCAAAAGGAAUAUUGCUUUCAAUUUCCCUCAACCUGAAAAACUGCGGCACUAGGGUUCUCAAUAUUGCUUUCAAUUUCACAAAUUUCCAAUUGCUUUUUCUCCAUUUCACAACCUGAAGAACUCCGAUAGACUUUUUCCGGCGUUGGAUCUGAUUAACUAUUCCAGGAAUUCUCAAAUACUUAUGGCACGCCUUGUGGGAAAUAACUUCAGCGGCGUUGCUCAUCCAGGGGCUCCCAAAAAUGAUGCAUUGUACAAGGAACUCUGCAUGCCUGUGUUGGUCCUCUUGUAAC